This 478-nucleotide ribosomal RNA is filed under the name uncultured bacterium. RNAcentral describes it as "partial 16S ribosomal RNA". It matches the Rfam family "Bacterial small subunit ribosomal RNA", at positions 28 to 507 of the family's 1533-position model. The record is from RNAcentral.
GAUGAACGCUGGCGGCGUGCCUAACACAUGCAAGUCGAACGGAGUCCAGCCUUUAAGACCUUCGGGUCAAAGAGGGGAAGACUGAGUGGCGGACGGGUGAGUAACACGUGGGCAACCUGGCUCAUAGAGGGGGAUAACAGAGAGAAAUUUCUGCUAAUACCGCAUAAGCACACACUGCCGCAUGGCAGAGGGUGAAAAGAGAAUCGCUAUGAGAUGGACCCGCGUCUGAUUAGCCAGUUGGCAGGGUAAGAGCCUACCAAAGCGACGAUCAGUAGCCGAUCUAAGAGGAUGAACGGCCACAUUGGGACUGAGACACGGCCCAAACUCCUACGGGAGGCAGCAGUGGGGGAUAUUGCACAAUGGGGGGAACCCUGAUGCAGCGACGCCGCGUGAGUGAAGAAGUAUUUCGGUAUGUAAAGCUCUAUCAGCAGGGAAGAUAAUGACAGUACCUGAAUAAGAAGCCCCGGCUAACUACGUG